RNAcentral lists this ribosomal RNA (229 nucleotides) under uncultured bacterium. RNAcentral describes it as "partial 16S ribosomal RNA". It matches the Rfam family "Bacterial small subunit ribosomal RNA", at positions 568 to 796 of the family's 1533-position model. The record is from RNAcentral.
CGCGCAGGCGGGUUAGCAAGUCAGAGGUGAAAUCCUACAGCUUAACUGUAGAACUGCCUUUGAGACUGCUAAUCUUGAGUAUGGAAGAGAGAGAUGGAAUUCCAGGUGUAGUGGUGAAAUACGUAGAUAUCUGGAAGAAUACCAGUGGCGAAGGCGGUCUCUUGGUCCGUAACUGACGCUGAGGCGCGAAAGCGUGGGGAGCAAACAGGAUUAGAUACCCUGGUAGUCC